Long non-coding RNA from Oncorhynchus keta (chum salmon), 1026 nucleotides. RefSeq lists it as uncharacterized. NCBI's taxonomy places the organism in Eukaryota, Metazoa, Chordata, Actinopteri, Salmoniformes, Salmonidae. The record is from RefSeq and is a predicted model, not a curated record. The transcript is spliced from 3 exons.
CCUCUCUACUGUAUGUAGCCUCUCUACUGUAUAUAGCCUCUCUACUGUAUGUAGCCUGUCUUUUUACUGUUGUUUUAUUUCCUACCUGUUGUUCACCUAACACCUUUUUUUUUUACUAUUGGUUAGAGCCUGUCAGUAAGCAUUUCACUGUAAGGUCUACUACACCUGUUGUAUUCAGUAUUUCACUGUGAGGUCUACUACACCUGUUGUAUUCAGUAUUUCACUGUGAGGUCUACUACACCUGUUGUAUUCAGCAUUUCACUGUGAGGUCUACUACACCUGUUGUAUUCAGUAUUUCACUGUGAGGUCUACUACACCUGUUGUAUUCAGCAUUUCACUGUGAGGUCUACUACACCUGUUGUAUUCAGCAUUUCACUGUGAGGUCUACUACACCUGUUGUAUUCAGUAUUUCACUGUGAGGUCUACUACACCUGUUGUAUUCAGCAUUUCACUGUGAGGUCUACUACACCUGUUGUAUUCAGCAUUUCACUGUGAGGUCUACUACACCUGUUGUAUUCAGUAUUUCACUGUGAGGUCUACUACACCUGUUGUAUUCAGCAUUUCACUGUAAGGUCUACUACACCUGUUGUAUUCAGCAUUUCACUCUGAGGUCUACUACACCUGUUGUAUUCAGCAUUUCACUGUGAGGUCUACUACACCUGUUGUAUUCAGCAUUUCACUGUAAGGUCUACUACACCUGUUGUAUUCAGCAUUUCACUGUGAGGUCUACUACACCUGUUGUAUUCGGCAUUUCACUGUAAGGUCUACUACACCUGUUGUAUUCAGCAUUUCACUGUGAGGUCUACUACACCUGUUGUAUUCGGCAUUUCACUGUAAGGUCUACUACACCUGUUGUAUUCAGCAUUUCACUGUAAGGUCUACUACACCUGUUGUAUUCGGCAUUUCACUGUGAGGUCUACUACACCUGUUGUAUUCAGCAUUUCACUGUGAGGUCUACUACACCUGUUGUAUUCGGCAUUUCACUGUAAGGUCUACUACACCUGUUGUAUUCAGCAUUUCACUGUG